Molecule: ribosomal RNA, 246 nt
Filed under: uncultured bacterium
Lineage: Bacteria
Description: partial 16S ribosomal RNA
Rfam family: Bacterial small subunit ribosomal RNA
Source: RNAcentral
GACAGAGGAUGCAAGCGUUAUCCGGAAUGAUUGGGCGUAAAGCGUCUGUAGGUGGCUUUUAAGUCUGCCGUCAAAUCCCAGGGCUUAACCCUGGACAGGCGGUGGAAACUACCAAGCUGGAGUACGGUAGGGCAGAGGGAAUUUCCGGUGGAGCGGUGAAUGCGUAGAGAUCGGAAAGAACACCAACGGCGAAAGCACUCUGCUGGCCGACACUGACACUGAGAGACGAAGCUAGGGAGCGAAUGG